GUCGAGGUCAGUCAUCGUUACCCGCAGCGGCGCCAUUUUGCCCAAACCGGUGAAAGUCACGACCCCCAGGAGACCUGGAGGACUGAAUGCUGCUGCCCCCAAGGAGGAG
RNAcentral lists this unclassified non-coding RNA (109 nucleotides) under Homo sapiens (human). RNAcentral describes it as "single-pass membrane protein with aspartate rich tail 1 (ENSG00000272901.5)". Lineage: Eukaryota; Metazoa; Chordata; Mammalia; Primates; Hominidae. The record is from RNAcentral.